UGGAUGGGGGGGGAGGGAGGGGGGGUAGUGCGAAGGGUCGAGAAGGGAAGCGGAAGGACGGGGCGGAAAGCGUGCGAAGGCGGUUUUGUAAGCGAGAUGGGAAAGCGCCGGGCUCAACCGGGGAAUUGCAGUUAAAACUGUCCAGCUAGAGUCUUGUAGAGGGGGGUAGAAUGCCAGGUGUAGCGGUGAAAUGCGUAGAGAUCUGGAGGAAUACCGGUGGCGAAGGCGGCCCCCUGGACAAAGACUGACGCUCAUGCACGAAAGCGUGGGGAGCAAACAGGAUUAGAUACCCGAGUAGUC
RNAcentral lists this ribosomal RNA (300 nucleotides) under uncultured Ignisphaera sp. RNAcentral's name for it is "partial 16S ribosomal RNA". The stretch from base 58 to 300 matches the Rfam family "Bacterial small subunit ribosomal RNA", at positions 553 to 795 of the family's 1533-position model. Lineage: Archaea; Thermoproteati; Thermoproteota; Thermoprotei; Desulfurococcales; Desulfurococcaceae. The record is from RNAcentral.